GACAGAGGGUGCAAACGUUGUUCGGAAUUACUGGGCGUAAAGCGCGUGUAGGCGGUCGUGCAAGUCGGGUGUGAAAGCCCUCGGCUCAACCGGGGAAGUGCACUCGAAACUGCAUGACUAGAGUCUCGGAGAGGAUAGUGGAAUUCUCGGUGUAGAGGUGAAAUUCGUAGAUAUCGAGAGGAACACCGGUGGCGAAGGCGGCUAUCUGGACGAUGACUGACGCUGAGACGCGAAAGCGUGGGGAGCGAACAGG
This 253-nucleotide ribosomal RNA is filed under the name uncultured bacterium. RNAcentral's name for it is "partial 16S ribosomal RNA". It matches the Rfam family "Bacterial small subunit ribosomal RNA", at positions 524 to 776 of the family's 1533-position model. The record is from RNAcentral.